GCCAGGCAUGGUGGCAUGUGCCUGUGCUCCCAGCUACUUGGGAGGUUGAGGUGGGAGGAUCGUUUGAGCCCAGGAGUUCUGGGCUGUAAUGCACUAUGUCGAUUGGGUGUCUUCACUAGGUUCAGCAUCAAUAUGGUGACCUCCCAGGAGCGAGAACCACCAAGUUGCCUAAGGAGGGGUGAACCAGCCCAGGUCAGAAACAGCUCAAAACUCCCGUGCUGAUCAAUAGUGGGAUCACGCCUGUGAAUAGCCACUGCAUUCCAGCCUGGGCAACAUAGCGAGAUCCCGUCUCUU
This is an unclassified non-coding RNA of Callithrix jacchus (white-tufted-ear marmoset), 294 nucleotides long. It matches the Rfam family "Metazoan signal recognition particle RNA". Rfam says of the family: The signal recognition particle (SRP) is a universally conserved ribonucleoprotein. It is involved in the co-translational targeting of proteins to membranes. The record is from Ensembl. Lineage: Eukaryota; Metazoa; Chordata; Mammalia; Primates; Cebidae.